This 162-nucleotide ribosomal RNA is filed under the name Disa longicornu. RNAcentral describes it as "5.8S ribosomal DNA". It matches the Rfam family "5.8S ribosomal RNA". From Rfam's summary of the family: 5.8S ribosomal RNA (5.8S rRNA) is a component of the large subunit of the eukaryotic ribosome. It is transcribed by RNA polymerase I as part of the 45S precursor that also contains 18S and 28S rRNA. Functionally, it is thought that 5.8S rRNA may be involved in ribosome translocation. Lineage: Eukaryota; Viridiplantae; Streptophyta; Magnoliopsida; Asparagales; Orchidaceae. The record is from RNAcentral.
UAGGACUCUCGGCAAUGGAUAUCUUGGCUCCCGCAUCGAUGAAGAGCGCAGCGAAAUGCGAUAUGUGGUGUGAAUUGCAGAAUCCCGUGAACCAUCGAGUUUUUGAACGCAAGUUGCGCCUGAGGCCAACUGGCCAAGGGCACGUUCGCCUGGGCGUCAAGC